Molecule: long non-coding RNA, 888 nt
Organism: Quercus robur (English oak)
Lineage: Eukaryota; Viridiplantae; Streptophyta; Magnoliopsida; Fagales; Fagaceae
Exons: 2
Source: RefSeq, a predicted model, not a curated record
UUUCUCUUUAGAAAUCCCUCACCCUCACCCUCACCCUCACCCUCGUGCUCUCUUCUCAAUUUUUAAUCAGCUCCAGAAACUCUACCAGGUUCUCUUUUUUUUCGAGAAAUGUGGACCAUAUCUACCAUUCCACUAAAAUAACCCUAAUUAUUUAAAAUUAUUUAAAAUUGUUGAGUCGAUAUCCGUCUAAAAAAAACUUUUACCUAUCAAUUUUAAGUAGAACGGUAGAGCACACUUUUCCGUUAUGUUGAUUUUAUAAUUUCUCCUCUUCCUCGCCCAAGCUCUCUCUCUCUUUCGCACGACAGUACAGUGUGGUGUAGUGGAUGAUAGAGAUGGAUUAUAAGAGUACCAUUUAGAGCAGAAAAGGUAAUUAAAGAAGUUGAUGAGGCUGAGUGCAGCUAACAACCAAUAAAAAGGAUCAAGCCUAUCCUUGUUGAGGUCAUUGUCACUAAGCCAUCCACCAGAAGAACUUGAGGUAAUUUUGUGCACUAGGGAAAUUAGCAAAAUGUAAGGGAUGGAUUGAAGAGAAGCUGGAGGGAUGUGGAAGCUUGUUGCGAUCCGGGUGUUCAUUGCCCUCCCUUGGGCAACUGUGCAAAGUCUCCAUGAACUUUCACUUGCAUUUUGAAUUUUAAUGCAGGCCUUGUCAAGGAAUUUGCAACAUCAUGACUAUCUUUGAGAAUAUAUAUUUACACAUUAAUAAGAACAAGACUUAAAUGAUGUCUUUUUGUUAGUUCUCUUUGUUUACCAGUUGGUCUCUACUUGUACCUUUUUUAUCCUUUUUUCAGUAAACUUGCAAAAUUACCACCUAUUGAAAAAAUCAAUGAAUCUGCAAAAUUGCUUGUAUUCUUUUUUACAAGUUACUGGGCUGCUUACCUUUAUUUGUGUUAA